Molecule: transfer RNA, 72 nt
Filed under: Flammulina velutipes KACC42780
Lineage: Eukaryota; Fungi; Basidiomycota; Agaricomycetes; Agaricales; Physalacriaceae
Description: tRNA-Thr (TGT) (tRNA-Thr-TGT-3-1)
Rfam family: tRNA
About the family: Transfer RNA (tRNA) molecules are approximately 80 nucleotides in length. Their secondary structure includes four short double-helical elements and three loops (D, anti-codon, and T loops).
Source: RNAcentral
UCCCGCUUAGCUCAGUGGUAGAGCGCAUCACUUGUAAUGAUGAGGUCAGUCGUUCAACCCGGCUAGUGGGAA